Molecule: long non-coding RNA, 913 nt
Filed under: Carica papaya (papaya)
Lineage: Eukaryota; Viridiplantae; Streptophyta; Magnoliopsida; Brassicales; Caricaceae
Description: long non-coding RNA (CPAP_LNC007596)
Source: RNAcentral
UGAUGUCUAAUCUUUGAUAGCUACCAUACAAUGAGUUCAUUCUCUAUAUAAUCUCAUCCCUCCAACUCUGUUUAGCAUCAAACUCUCUCUCUUUUUUUAUAUCACACCUCUCUCCACUCUUGCAACUGAUCUAUAGCCAUCUUUCUUUGAUAUUAUAUAUUUGCAGGAAGUAACCCAGAUAAGAAAAUAUAUAACUAUGUUCCCAACUGCAAUGAUGUUGUUUAUAUCACAGUAUUUCUUGGUGCAUGGUGAUGGUGAUUAUGGGUAUAUUAACUACUCUUAUAACCCGUCACUAAAAGAUGAUGAUGAGGAUCCGGCUGCAUCCCGGGGAGAUGGAGACGACGAUGAUGAUGACGAUGAUGGAGGUUAUGAUUAUGCUCCUGCUGCUUAAGAGAUGCAUCGGAACCAAACCCUAGCCCUAGAUCCUUUAGUAUAGAUAUAGUCUUCUUCUUGUCCUUUUCACCCUAGAAAGGCAUCUAUAUAGAGUAUUACAUAUAUGAGAUCUCUUACCAAUCAGCUGAUAAUUACGUACACCCUAGAUCUAGUUUUAUAAAGUAUGUAUAAUCUCAUGCAUCGGUGAUGGGUACUGUAAUGUUAUCUAUAUUUAUAUAAUUAUAGAACUUUAAUAUAUAUAUAUGUAUACACAUAAUUCCAGCUACAAGAGCUUGUAAGGCGAGUCGAUUAUCAAUAUGAGCAAGGAAAAUAAAUUAAACGUCGACGUUUAAUCAUCCAUAACAGAUGGUAUGAGUUUUGGUGUUCUUGUUGUCUUCUACCUUGAGGGUUUUACUGUUGAUUACUUUCUGUCAAUACAUUCAAAGUUUGCUGAAUGAGCGACGUCGUAUUGUUGUUUUUGUUUCAGUUCUUGUAAAUUAGUUUGGUUUUGUUUGUACGGUAGGAUCUAAUCAAGCUUUGU